Molecule: long non-coding RNA, 2204 nt
Organism: Cyprinus carpio carpio
Lineage: Eukaryota; Metazoa; Chordata; Actinopteri; Cypriniformes; Cyprinidae
Source: Ensembl
AUGUCUGAUCUUGAGAUGGACCGUCUCCUGAAUGAGAUGAGUGACCUUGUCGAUCAGGCUGAACAUCAAGCUCACCUCCAACAGCUCAUUAGCAUGCACCAGGAAGCAGAACCAUCCACCGGUCAGCCUUCCACCAGUAAUCCAUCCACCAGCCGGCCAUCAAAAAGCAAGCAAGACGUUAGGUGGAUUAAGAGGGACAGUGAUGGAAACAUUAUUUACGGCAGGCCCAGAUCAUCCCGGAAACAAGCAGCAGGUCCCAGUCACAGCCAGAGUCGAAAGACUGGUGUCUCUCAUAUCAGGGCUCCUGAAACCAGUGCGGAAAUGACCAGUGACUUUCCUUCCGUUACUGCAGAGUCCUUCCUUCAAGAGCUUAAAAGCUCACUGUUUGAGGAAAUACAUGAGGAUGAAACGGUACUUCAAGCCUCAACAGACUGGUCGACCCGAAAGAGCCUCAUAUCAGGGUGGUGGGAGAAAGAGAGACCCCGACUGGUCAACACCAUGGUGGCUGGACAACAUGCGGCAACUCGGAUCUGCCAACAUUGUGGAAAUGGUCCAGCCGUAAUCCGUUGUUGUGACUGCCGACCACACCCAUUCCUCUGUGGCCAGUGUGAUGUCAGGGUCCACCGAGGUCAAGUGUUCCACAACAGGGAUUCGAUGACACAUGCAUUCUUUCAUCCAUUGCCUCCCACAACUUGUGUUGUGGAGAGGGUUCUAACCCAGUGUGAGCGUCUUGUACCUUUGGAGAUGCCAGAGACAAUAUGCGGUUGUCUACGAGUAUCGUCCAGUGUCAUCGCAGGACAGUCCAUAGUUGUGGUUACAAUGAAUGGGCGAUAUGAUCUCAGAUUGCCUCAGAUUAGAUGCAAAGCAUGUGAAGCCACUUGGAGUCCUGGAGUGGAUGACCUGAUCCGUAAUGACUACUGGCCUGCCACUUCUCACUAUUCAACUGUGUAUGCAACAGAUGUCCUUUUUUCUUUUGAAGAGCUGAAGAUGGCAGCACCAGGGAUGUCUAGCCAAGCAUUUCUUAGAAUGCUGGAUCAACGCACUGUUCGAUUUGGCCGUAGUGGAAACAUCACAGCAGACAGCUUCCGGAAAAAGCUUCUUGGAGUGGGAAGCUGUCCGAUUCGAAGUGGACAAAUUAUGCCAGGAGGACCACUUUGACUGCCCAGCGUGCAGCCCAGACAUGCUUGCAGUAUCCGUUGAUGGAAACCGUAAGCACUACAGAUUCAAGAGUGCAGCAAGGUACUGUGUGUGCAUUGACGGUCCAUUACUUUGAAAGUAACUGCUGUGAAUUGAAAAAUCAUAUGAAUAUUUAAAGUUAAUAUGUAUCUCUUUUUAUUUAGAUCGGAGGAAAAAAAGCCAUCUUUGAUGGCGUGUUCAUCGCAAAUGAUGAUGAUGUCGCAAGAUUCGUGGACUAUGUCCAUACCUCAACCAGUCAUGUAAACUUGCACAACUUCUCUAUAUUUACCUAUAAAAACACCACGUCCUACAGAGGACUUAGUUUGAACAAGUUUGGAAUGUUAAACAUCUUCCAUGUUUUAGGUCUCUGGAAGAGGUGUCUGUGGAGGGCAAUGGUCAGCGGCGCGUGAAACUUCUCAGAAGUCCUCAGGAAAAAAACAGACGAGGAGGGCCUGGAACUCGCUGUAUGUCGUCAUGGGGUUCUCCUUCGUGCCCUCAAUAUGUUCAGGGGGAGAUUUUUUUGCCUACCCCCUGUACCUCCAAAAGCAAAUGGCCUGUAAGCCAGUUAAAUUUUUUUUGCAAUGGAUGUGGCAUGCAAGUACUGGCCUUACCUCCAGAGAGUGACAGAGAAAUGCCCUGAGCUUGAGGAUCUCCUCACCAUGAGGCCAUUUCUUUCUGUUUUUCAUGCCAAAGCUCAUGAUUUCAAAUGUGAGGUAAGAAAAAAAUGAUUGUCCAUGAUAUUUUCUUUCCCUAAAAAUCCUGCAUAAGAUUGUUGCCACUUAGGUUUUGUUUUUUUGUUUUCUUUUUUUAAAAGGUAAAAUGGAGUGGAGCAUAUCAGGAGGGGGCUGGUUCGACUCUUGGGGAAGAGGUGGAGCAGUGCAACGCCUUCCUCUCGAGGAUUGCUGUUACGACAAAGCACAUGUCAAAAAGCAGGUAAGGUAACCAGUAAAUUUUGAUCCUGAUGACAUGGGUGAGCCACUUAUGCAUACAUGCUGACUCUGAAAAAUAUAAAGAUCAGAAUAUAUUAA